GCCUGGGUAGCUCAGUUGGUUGAGCGUCUGACUUCAGCUCAGGUCAUGAUCUCGCGGUCUGUGAGUUCGAGCCCCAUGUUGGGCC
Molecule: transfer RNA, 85 nt
Filed under: Felis catus (domestic cat)
Lineage: Eukaryota; Metazoa; Chordata; Mammalia; Carnivora; Felidae
Rfam family: tRNA
About the family: Transfer RNA (tRNA) molecules are approximately 80 nucleotides in length. Their secondary structure includes four short double-helical elements and three loops (D, anti-codon, and T loops).
Source: Rfam by way of RNAcentral